RNAcentral lists this ribosomal RNA (468 nucleotides) under uncultured bacterium. RNAcentral's name for it is "partial 16S ribosomal RNA". It matches the Rfam family "Bacterial small subunit ribosomal RNA", at positions 28 to 507 of the family's 1533-position model. The record is from RNAcentral.
GACGAACGCUGGCGGCGUGCUUAACACAUGCAAGUCGAACGGAAAGGCCCUGCUUUUGUGGGGUGCUCGAGUGGCGAACGGGUGAGUAACACGUGAGUAACCUGCCCUUGACUUUGGGAUAACUUCCGGAAACUGGGGCUAAUACCGGCUAGGAGCUCCUGCUGCAUGGUGGGGGUUGGAAAGUUUCGGCGGUUGGGGAUGGACUCGCGGCUUAUCAGCUUGUUGGUGGGGUAGUGGCUUACCAAGGCUUUGACGGGUAGCCGGCCUGCGAGGGUGACCGGCCACAUUGGGCCUGAGAUACGGCCCAGACUCCUACGGGAGGCAGCAGUGGGGAAUAUUGCACAAUGGGCGGAAGCCUGAUGCAGCCACGCCGCGUGCGGGAUGGCGGCCUUCGGGUUGUAAACCGCUUUCGCCUGUGACGAAGCGUGAGUGACGGUAAUGGGUAAAGAAGCACCGGCUAACUACGUG